RNAcentral lists this ribosomal RNA (366 nucleotides) under uncultured eukaryote. Its description in RNAcentral is "partial 18S ribosomal RNA". It matches the Rfam family "Eukaryotic small subunit ribosomal RNA", at positions 592 to 976 of the family's 1831-position model. The record is from RNAcentral.
CAAUAGCGUAUAUUAAAGUUGUUGCAGUUAAAAAGCUCGUAGUUGAAUUUCUGGUGGGCGCGCCGGUCUUCCAAGUGUUGUACUGGGCGCAGUCCGCCAUCCUUGUGGAGAGGGCUCGCAUUGAGUUGCGUGUCGGAUCUGCAUCAUUUACUGUGAAAAAAUUAGAGUGUUUAAAGCAGGCUGUCGCUUGAAUACAUUAGCAUGGAAUAAUAAGAUAGGACUUCGGUCUAUUUUGUUGGUUGCGAACCGAGGUAAUGAUUAAUAGGGAUAGUUGGGGGUAUUCAUAUUUAAUUGUCAGAGGUGAAAUUCUUGGAUUUAUGAAAGAUGAACAACUGCGAGAGCAUUUACCAAGGAUGUUUUCAUUAA